UACGUAGGGUGCAAGCGUUGUUCGGAAUUAUUGGGCGUAAAGAGCUCGUAGGCGGUCUGUCGCGUCUGCUGUGAAAACUCGGGGCUUAACCCCGGGCCUGCAGUGGGUACGGGCAGACUAGAGUGCGGUAGGGGAGACUGGAAUUCCUGGUGUAGCGGUGAAAUGCGUAGAGAUCGGGAAGAACAUCGGUGGCGAAAGCGCUCUGCUGGACUGCAACUGACACUCAGGGACGAAAGCUAGGGGAGCGAAUGGG
RNAcentral lists this ribosomal RNA (253 nucleotides) under uncultured bacterium. RNAcentral's name for it is "partial 16S ribosomal RNA". It matches the Rfam family "Bacterial small subunit ribosomal RNA", at positions 524 to 776 of the family's 1533-position model. The record is from RNAcentral.